AGGUCGCUGGAGAGGGUUCCUAAGCCACCGUGCUGCCUUGAUGCAAGUCCUCGAGCGCUUUCGGCGAUGUGCAAGCUCUUAAGCACGACCACGAU
RNAcentral lists this non-coding RNA (95 nucleotides) under Aurantiochytrium limacinum. The record is from RNAcentral. Lineage: Eukaryota; Bigyra; Thraustochytrida; Thraustochytriidae.